GACGAACGCUGGCGGCGUGCUUAACACAUGCAAGUCGAACGGAAAGGCCCUGCUUUUGUGGGGUGCUCGAGUGGCGAACGGGUGAGUAACACGUGAGUAACCUGCCCUUGACUUUGGGAUAACUUCAGGAAACUGGGGCUAAUACCGGAUAGGAGCUCCUGCUGCAUGGUGGGGGUUGGAAAGUUUCGGCGGUUGGGGAUGGACUCGCGGCUUAUCAGCUUGUUGGUGGGGUAGUGGCUUACCAAGGCUUUGACGGGUAGCCGGCCUGAGAGGGUGACCGGCCACAUUGGGACUGAGAUACGGCCCAGACUCCUACGGGAGGCAGCAGUGGGGAAUAUUGCACAAUGGGCGGAAGCCUGAUGCAGCAACGCCGCGUGCGGGAUGACGGCCUUCGGGUUGUAAACCGCUUUCGCCUGUGACGAAGCGUGAGUGAUGGUAAUGGGUAAAGAAGCACCGGCUAACUACGUGCCAGCAGCCGCGGUGAUACGUAGGGUGCGAGCGUUGUCCGGAUUUAUUGGGCGUAAAGGGCUCGUAGGUGGUUGAUCGCGUCGGAAGUGUAAUCUUGGGGCUUAACCCUGAGCGUGCUUUCGAUACGGGUUGACUUGAGGAAGGUAGGGGAGAAUGGAAUUCCUGGUGGAGCGGUGGAAUGCGCAGAUAUCAGGAGGAACACCAGUGGCGAAGGCGGUUCUCUGGGCCUUUCCUGACGCUGAGGAGCGAAAGCGUGGGGAGCGAACAGGCUUAGAUACCCUGGUAGUCCACGCUGUAAACGGUGGGUACUAGGUGUGGGGUCCAUUCCACGGGUUCCGUGCCGUAGCUAACGCUUUAAGUACCCCGCCUGGGGAGUACGGCCGCAAGGCUAAAACUCAAAGGAAUUGACGGGGCCCCGCACAAGCGGCGGAGCAUGCGGAUUAAUUCGAUGCAACGCGUAGAACCUUACCUGGGUUUGACAUGGAUCGGGAGUGCUCAGAGAUGGGUGUGCCUCUUUUGGGGUCGGUUCACAGGUGGUGCAUGGCUGUCGUCAGCUCGUGUCGUGAGAUGUUGGGUUAAGUCCCGCAACGAGCGCAACCCUUGUUCACUGUUGCCAGCACGUUAUGGUGGGGACUCAGUGGAGACCGCCGGGGUCAACUCGGAGGAAGGUGGGGAUGACGUCAAGUCAUCAUGCCCCUUAUGUCCAGGGCUUCACGCAUGCUACAAUGGCUGGUACAGAGAGUGGCGAGCCUGUGAGGGUGAGCGAAUCUCGGAAAGCCGGUCUCAGUUCGGAUUGGGGCCUGCAACUCGACCUCAUGAAGUCGGAGUCGCUAGUAAUCGCAGAUCAGCAACGCUGCGGUGAAUACGUUCCCGGGGCU
RNAcentral lists this ribosomal RNA (1346 nucleotides) under uncultured bacterium. RNAcentral describes it as "partial 16S ribosomal RNA". It matches the Rfam family "Bacterial small subunit ribosomal RNA", at positions 28 to 1381 of the family's 1533-position model. The record is from RNAcentral.